Molecule: ribosomal RNA, 234 nt
Filed under: uncultured bacterium
Lineage: Bacteria
Description: partial 16S ribosomal RNA
Rfam family: Bacterial small subunit ribosomal RNA
Source: RNAcentral
UACGUAGGGGGCAAGCGUUGUCCGGAUUGACUGGGCGUAAAGCGCACGCAGGCGGUCGCGCGCGUGGGGUGUGAAAACUGGCGGCUUAACUGCCAGAGGCCAUCCCAUACGGCGCAACUCGAGCCAUGCAGAGGUCCACGGAAUUGCCGGUGUAGUGGUGAAAUGCGUAGACGGAUCGGCAGGAACACCCAGGGGGAAACCAGUGGACUGGGCAUGCGCUGACGCUCAGGGUGC